Molecule: transfer RNA, 73 nt
Filed under: Canis lupus familiaris (dog)
Lineage: Eukaryota; Metazoa; Chordata; Mammalia; Carnivora; Canidae
Also listed under: 1 other name
Rfam family: tRNA
About the family: Transfer RNA (tRNA) molecules are approximately 80 nucleotides in length. Their secondary structure includes four short double-helical elements and three loops (D, anti-codon, and T loops). Further hydrogen bonds mediate the characteristic L-shaped molecular structure. tRNAs have two regions of fundamental functional importance: the anti-codon, which is responsible for specific mRNA codon recognition, and the 3' end, to which the tRNAs corresponding amino acid is attached (by aminoacyl-tRNA synthetases). tRNAs cope with the degeneracy of the genetic code in two manners: having more than one tRNA (with a specific anti-codon) for a particular amino acid; and 'wobble' base-pairing, i.e. permitting non-standard base-pairing at the 3rd anti-codon position.
Source: Rfam by way of RNAcentral
GCCUGGCUGGCUCAGUAGGUAGAGCAUGCGACUCUGGAUCUCAGGAUUGUGAGUUUGAGCCCCAUGUUGGGUA